Echinostoma caproni is the source of this 73-nucleotide non-coding RNA. NCBI's taxonomy places the organism in Eukaryota, Metazoa, Platyhelminthes, Trematoda, Plagiorchiida, Echinostomatidae. The record is from Rfam.
GGCCCUGUGGCCUAAUGGAUAAGGCGUCUGACUUCGAAUCAGAGGGUUGCAGGUUCGAGUCCUGCCAGGGUCG